Molecule: transfer RNA, 73 nt
Filed under: Felis catus (domestic cat)
Lineage: Eukaryota; Metazoa; Chordata; Mammalia; Carnivora; Felidae
Rfam family: tRNA
About the family: Transfer RNA (tRNA) molecules are approximately 80 nucleotides in length. Their secondary structure includes four short double-helical elements and three loops (D, anti-codon, and T loops). Further hydrogen bonds mediate the characteristic L-shaped molecular structure. tRNAs have two regions of fundamental functional importance: the anti-codon, which is responsible for specific mRNA codon recognition, and the 3' end, to which the tRNAs corresponding amino acid is attached (by aminoacyl-tRNA synthetases). tRNAs cope with the degeneracy of the genetic code in two manners: having more than one tRNA (with a specific anti-codon) for a particular amino acid; and 'wobble' base-pairing, i.e. permitting non-standard base-pairing at the 3rd anti-codon position.
Source: Rfam by way of RNAcentral
ACCUGACUGGCUCAGUCAGUAGAGCAUGAGACCCUUGACCUCAGGGUUGUGAGUUCGAGUCCCACGUUGGGCA